GACGAACGCUGGCGGCGUGCUUAACACAUGCAAGUCGAACGGAAAGGCCCUGCUUUUGUGGGGUGCUCGAGUGGCGAACGGGUGAGUAGCACGUGAGUAACCUGCCCUUGACUUUGGGAUAACUUCAGGAAACUGGGGCUAAUACCGGAUAGGAGCUCCUGCUGCAUGGUGGGGGUUGGAAAGUUUCGGCGGUUGGGGAUGGACUCGCGGCUUAUCAGCUUGUUGGUGGGGUAGUGGCUUACCAAGGCUUUGACGGGUAGCCGGCCUGAGAGGGUGACCGGCCACAUUGGGACUGAGAUACGGCCCAGACUCCUGCGGGAGGCAGCAGUGGGGAAUAUUGCACAAUGGGCGGAAGCCUGAUGCAGCAACGCCGCGUGCGGGAUGACGGCCUUCGGGUUGUAAACCGCUUUCGCCUGUGACGAAGCGUGAGUGACGGUAAUGGGUAAAGAAGCACCGGCUAACUACGUG
Molecule: ribosomal RNA, 468 nt
Filed under: uncultured bacterium
Lineage: Bacteria
Description: partial 16S ribosomal RNA
Rfam family: Bacterial small subunit ribosomal RNA
Source: RNAcentral